RNAcentral lists this ribosomal RNA (162 nucleotides) under Atriplex patens. Its description in RNAcentral is "5.8S ribosomal RNA". It matches the Rfam family "5.8S ribosomal RNA". From Rfam's summary of the family: 5.8S ribosomal RNA (5.8S rRNA) is a component of the large subunit of the eukaryotic ribosome. It is transcribed by RNA polymerase I as part of the 45S precursor that also contains 18S and 28S rRNA. Functionally, it is thought that 5.8S rRNA may be involved in ribosome translocation. Lineage: Eukaryota; Viridiplantae; Streptophyta; Magnoliopsida; Caryophyllales; Amaranthaceae. The record is from RNAcentral. RNAcentral also lists the same sequence under 1 other name.
AACGACUCUCGGCAACGGAUAUCUCGGCUCUCGCAUCGAUGAAGAACGUAGCGAAAUGCGAUACUUGGUGUGAAUUGCAGAAUCCCGUGAACCAUCGAGUCUUUGAACGCAAGUUGCGCCCGAAGCCAUUAGGUCGAGGGCACGCCUGCCUGGGCGUCACGC